Peromyscus maniculatus bairdii (prairie deer mouse) is the source of this 138-nucleotide non-coding RNA. Ensembl annotates it as predicted gene, 24644. NCBI's taxonomy places the organism in Eukaryota, Metazoa, Chordata, Mammalia, Rodentia, Cricetidae. The record is from Ensembl.
UGGCUUGGUUUCCUGGGAGGUGGGCUCAGUGUACUCCACCUCCUCUCAGCUAAGCCUAGAGUACAGGGCCAGGUAUGCACCUGUGUGGGAGAGGUGCUUAAGCAGGGAGCCUUGCCCGGCUUUCCUAGCCUCACAUUU